This 595-nucleotide ribosomal RNA is filed under the name uncultured bacterium. RNAcentral describes it as "partial 16S ribosomal RNA". It matches the Rfam family "Bacterial small subunit ribosomal RNA", at positions 1 to 572 of the family's 1533-position model. The record is from RNAcentral.
GGCGGCCGCGGGAUUCGAUUAGAGUUUGAUCCUGGCUCAGAUUGAACGCUGGCGGCAGGCCUAACACAUGCAAGUCGAAUGGUAACAGGAAACAGCUUGCUGUUUCGCUGACGAGUGGCGGACGGGUGAGUAAUGUCUGGGAAACUGCCUGAUGGAGGGGGAUAACUACUGGAAACGGUAGCUAAUACCGCAUAACGUCGCAAGACCAAAGAGGGGGACCUUCGGGCCUCUUGCCAUCAGAUGUGCCCAGAUGGGAUUAGCUAGUAGGUGGGGUAACGGCUCACCUAGGCGACGAUCCCUAGCUGGUCUGAGAGGAUGACCAGCCACACUGGAACUGAGACACGGUCCAGACUCCUACGGGAGGCAGCAGUGGGGAAUAUUGCACAAUGGGCGCAAGCCUGAUGCAGCCAUGCCGCGUGUAUGAAGAAGGCCUUCGGGUUGUAAAGUACUUUCAGCGGGGAGGAAGGGAGUAAAGUUAAUACCUUUGCUCAUUGACGUUACCCGCAGAAGAAGCACCGGCUAACUCCGUGCCAGCAGCCGCGGUAAUACGGAGGGUGCAAGCGUUAAUCGGAAUUACUGGGCGUAAAGCGCACGC